This 2649-nucleotide unclassified non-coding RNA is filed under the name Polistes canadensis. RNAcentral describes it as "transcriptional adapter 2B, transcript variant X9". The record is from RNAcentral. Lineage: Eukaryota; Metazoa; Arthropoda; Insecta; Hymenoptera; Vespidae.
GCGGGUACGUAUUUUGGGUCGAGCAAGAAGGGACGGCGCCAUCCCUUUCGGGUUUUCUUCGCGUAAAAGUCUUACGAGUUCAUUCUUUUAUCGCAUUAUGUCGAUUCUAGAUUUGUUUGCAAAAUACAACUGUACGUAUUGUCAAGAGGAUAUUACAGGAUUGCGUAUAAAAUGCGUCGAAUGCCCAGAUUUCGACCUAUGUUUGCAGUGCUUCUCAGCUGGAGCUGAAAUUGGCCAACACAAAAAUGAUCACUCCUAUCAGUUUAUGGAUUCUGGUACUAUUAGUAUAUUCAAUGGACGAGGUAAUUGGACUGCAAAAGAACAACUUAGACUUUUGGAUGCCAUUGAACAAUUUGGCUUUGGUAAUUGGGAAGAUAUCAGUAAACAUAUUGAAACUAGAAGUCCGGAAGAAGCGAAAGAAGAAUACACUGCUAGGUAUUUGGAUGGCAACAUCGGAAAGCAUACAUGGCCACCUACAGAAAGCUAUACGCCAAAUCUUACGGAUCAAACUAAGUCAGAUAAUGGACCACUGUCGCCCGAUCUCACAUCUCGGUUACCUCCACUGGAUAUAACACCGGAGGAAGCUGCUCAACUGGGCUAUAUGCCUCAACGAGAUGACUUUGAAAGAGACUAUAACCACGAAGCGGAGUCUCUCGUUUCUUCGUUAUUUUUAAAUCCUGCAGAGGACGAUGAUCUUGACAUAGCGCUUAAGCUAGCACAAGUCGAUAUGUACACUAAUAAUUUAAGAGAAAGAGCUAGAAGAAAACGCGUCGUACGAGAUUAUCAACUUGUGUCUUCUUUCUUUGCAUCUUCUAGAAAAGAUAGAGGAGGAGUAAAGAAACGAAGAACGAAGGAAGAGAGAGAAUUUAGAGACAGAAUGCGCACUUUUGCACAAUUUUAUACAGCACAGGAACACGAGCAGUUCCUAACAAAUCUUGAAAGAGAAAGAGAGCUUCGGUUACGACUCUCUGAACUUUAUCGUUAUCGGGAGCAUGGCAUAGCAAGGCACGAAGAAUGUGCUCAUUUUGAACAAAUAAUAGCACAGGCUCAGGGACAAAACGAUGCUGCAGAACACUGGACAGAAAAAAAAUCUGAAUUUGUUAACAGAUUGUAUCAGUUUACAUUUCACUUAGGGCAGCAGUGGGCCGUCCACACCAAUACAUCGCCACACCUCAAAAAAAAGAGAAGAAGAAAAAAAUUACUCUUCCACCGACCGAAAGUCCACUAUAAAAGUAGACACAGCCAGCAGCAGCUCCACAAUGAAUCAAAUCAAUCCCAAUCGGAUGAUGAUUCCAACCAAUCAGUGGGCGGAGCAGGAUAGCAGCCAACAUUCUACGAGUUCAAAUUCUACAAUAGAAAAAAAUUGCAACUUAGGGUCAUCUUCUUCAAAAAUACUCUCGCAUUUGGGAGAAACAGGAGAACGAGAUAUAGAAUUGGAGGCAUCGGCGCAUCUUUUAACGAAACAAGAAAAAUUAUUAUGUCUUCAAUUAGACUUGAAGCCGAUGCAAUAUUUAACGCAAAAAACAUUGUUGUUACAAGAAUAUCUCAGCGGUAAUAAAAAAUCAGGGAUUAUACCUCAAUCGGAACCAGAGAGUAAGAUACUUCAUUAUUUGGUAGCUAAUGGUUGGAUCGCAGCCAAUUGAUCGAUUAUCGAGACAAAAGUUAUGCUCAUUUUCCAAUUCUAAGUCAUCCUUUAUUUUACUAAGUCGUAGAUAUAUAAUGACAACAUGAGUAUAACUUAAUUAAUAAAUAAGAAUUAGAUAGAAAAAGAGAGCAUAUAACAACAAAUUUCUUUUUCUUCGACUACGUUUUUCUGAAACAAUGUUAUGUCUCAGUUAUGUUAUAAAGUUUAUUGAAAAUGAUAUUGCUGUUAUCAAGAACGAAGAAUAUUAUACUACUAGAUAAAUUAUAAAUGUAGUAUCAUUUUUAUUUGAUAUCAAUUCAGGUUGGGGUAUGUAUGUACAUAUGUAAAUGCACGCACAUAUCGAUAUAUGUGUAUGUAUAUUUAUCGAAACGAGUCUACCACUUUUAAAUUCAAAAAUGAUCUAAAGAAAAUAUUUUAUAAUACUGCCUUCUUAGUCACUAUAUACUGUUCUAUCAAUUCUUCCAUAUAAAAUCUUGUUGUUUCUUUUUUCAUUUUUCUUUUUUAGAUCAUAUUGUUGCACACGUGUAGAAUAUCAUCGUUUAUUUUAUUUCAAUAUUAUUUGUUACCAUACUUGACAAUAAGGAAAAAAUAAUUUGUGCGUCAUAUCUUUUUUAAAUUAUGUGGAACAACUGCAAGGACACCAAGUAUCUGUGUAAUUGUAAUUUAUGAAAGUAUUGCUGUCGUGCUUGAAGAUCUAAAAUAUAUUCUAUCACACGUUAAAUUCAUUCUUGCUUAACAUUUUCAGCAAAAAAGAGUACGUAAAGCUGCAAUAUGAAACAAAAAAGAAUAAAAAAGAAAAACAAAAAAAUAGAACACUUUUUUCUUAUUGCAUUGAUAUGAGAUUUGCCUAUUGAAAGAUUACAUGUUAUUAAAUAUGAUAUGUAUAUAUAGAUUUAGCUUUAUAAAGUGGAGAUACUUAACCUAGAGAUACUGUGGAGAUGAUACGUAGCCUAGUUCGUCUAAUAUACGAAUAUUUUCUCUGUGUAAAAUAAUGAAAAGAAAAA